CGCACCCGAUCCCAUUCCGAACUCGGCCGUGAAACGCCCCUGCGCCAAUGGUACUUCGUCUCAAGACGCGGGAGAGUAGGUCGCUGCCAGGU
Molecule: ribosomal RNA, 92 nt
Filed under: Phyllobacterium sp. CL33Tsu
Lineage: Bacteria; Pseudomonadati; Pseudomonadota; Alphaproteobacteria; Hyphomicrobiales; Phyllobacteriaceae
Source: RNAcentral